AGCUCCAGUAGCGUAUAUUAAAGUUGUUGCAGUUAAAAAGCUCGUAGUUGGAUUUCUGGUGUGGUGCGUUUGGUCCGCCACCGAUAGGUGAGUGAGUACCGAGCUUUUUUUGCGCCUACCAUCCUUCCGGGAAGCUUGUCUGGCCUUCAUUGGUUUUUCGGAUGAUGUCUACCUGGAUCAUUUACUGUGAACAAAUUAGAGUGUUUCACGCAGGCGUUUCUGCUUGAAUACAUUAGCAUGGAAUAAUAAGAUAGGACUUUGGUACUAUUUUGUUGGUUUCUAGCACUAAAGUAAUGAUUGAUAGGGACAGUUGGGGGUGCUAGUAUUUAACGGCCAGAGGUGAAAUUCUUGGAUUCGUUAAAGACUAACUAAUGCGAAAGCAUUCACCAAGGAUGUCUUCUUUA
Molecule: ribosomal RNA, 404 nt
Filed under: Limnofila sp.
Lineage: Eukaryota; Cercozoa
Description: partial small subunit ribosomal RNA
Rfam family: Eukaryotic small subunit ribosomal RNA
Source: RNAcentral